RNAcentral lists this antisense RNA (75 nucleotides) under Paractinoplanes brasiliensis. RNAcentral's name for it is "Actinoplanes brasiliensis ASpks TB sRNA". It matches the Rfam family "ASpks TB sRNA". Lineage: Bacteria; Bacillati; Actinomycetota; Actinomycetes; Micromonosporales; Micromonosporaceae. The record is from RNAcentral.
CUUGAUCGAGCCGAGCCACAACGGCCGAUCCUCGGGACGGUCCUGACCGUACGUCGCCAGCAGAGCCUGCGCCUC